Molecule: transfer RNA, 75 nt
Filed under: Microbacterium sp.
Lineage: Bacteria; Bacillati; Actinomycetota; Actinomycetes; Micrococcales; Microbacteriaceae
Description: tRNA-Ala
Rfam family: tRNA
About the family: Transfer RNA (tRNA) molecules are approximately 80 nucleotides in length. Their secondary structure includes four short double-helical elements and three loops (D, anti-codon, and T loops). Further hydrogen bonds mediate the characteristic L-shaped molecular structure. tRNAs have two regions of fundamental functional importance: the anti-codon, which is responsible for specific mRNA codon recognition, and the 3' end, to which the tRNAs corresponding amino acid is attached (by aminoacyl-tRNA synthetases). tRNAs cope with the degeneracy of the genetic code in two manners: having more than one tRNA (with a specific anti-codon) for a particular amino acid; and 'wobble' base-pairing, i.e. permitting non-standard base-pairing at the 3rd anti-codon position.
Source: RNAcentral
GGGCCUGUGGCGCAGCUGGUAGCGCACCUCCAUGGCAUGGAGGGGGUCAGGGGUUCGAGUCCCCUCAGCUCCACC